AUGAUGAACCCAGCCGUUAGCAGGAAGGCGGCACAACAACGUCAGCGGCGCACCUACAGAGUGAGAAGAGAUAUUUUCGCUGAGUACGACGAUGCUGAGUUACUGAAAAGAUUCAGAUUGGACCGUGCUGGUAUUGUUGCAGUGACUGAUAUAGUGAGAGACAAGCUGCAAAGUAAAACUGAAAGAAAUAGAGCCUUGACCCCUGAGAUGGUGGCCAUCACAUUACGAUAUUUAGCCACAGGAAAAAUGCAACAGUGCAGUUGUGAUGAUUUUGGAACAACGCAGCCCACUAUCAGCCGUGCAAUAUCACAGACAAUUGAUGCACUGGCUGACCCAGAAGUAAUCUGGCAGUUCGUGGCUUUCCCUCACACCCAGCGUGAAGUGCAGCAAAAACAGGCAGAGUUCAUGCAAGUAACUCAGUUUCCCGGUGUUGUGGGAGUGAUUGAUGGUACUCAUAUAAGAAUUGUGUCUCCUCAUGUCGAUGAACAUGUAUAUGUGAACAGGAAACGCUAUCACAGCAUAAAUGUGCAAGUAGUAUUUGAUGCUCACUAUAAGAUUCUUGACAUUGUGGCAAGGUGGCCUGGCUCAGUCAACGAUGCAAGAAUACUAGAUAAGUCAGCACUCAAACUGAUGUUUGAGGAACAACAUGUACCUGCAGGAUGCUACCUUCCCGGGGACAGUGGCUAUCCCUGUAAGCAGUGGCUCCUCACUCCUUACCUUCGCCCUCAAACUGUUGCACAAGCUAAUUAUAACAGUUCCAGUACCUUACGAUGCAGCCGAGGGGACUGACGCCACCACCACCACUGCCACCACCGCCACAACAAGGGUUAUUCAAAUGGGGAACAUGCUUCAGGUGUUGCCCCAAGAUGCCUCAGCCCCGCAGCCCCACUUCCCCAUGAUAGUGCAGGCAGGGAAUGUCAUACAGGUUGUUCCAGCUGACAACACGCAGGUAUUAGGGGCAGAAGUCGUUGGAGUUGGUCGGGUCAUGCAAGUGGUCGGAGUCCCAGGCUUUCCCCCGACCCCAGCCCCAGACCCCUGCCCCAGCCACCCCUCUCCCUGUGACCCCUGCCCAGUCAUCCCUCACCCCCUCCUGCCCCCCUGCGGUGCUGCCAGCGGGGGUGAUGGGAGGUGGAGGUGGGCCACACACACCUGGGUUAGCUGUGGCUUGGCUUAUCUCCCUCCUCAGCAGCAAAUCCCGAGGAUCAACGAGGACAUGGUGGACCCAGAGAUUGCAGCAGCAGCAAGAGAGAGAGAGAGAAGCAAGAGAGGAGGGAGAGGAAGGAGAGGAGGAGGAGAGAGAGGGAGGCCAGGAGGGAGGCACGUCAGAGAGAGAGGGAGAGGAAGAGGUUGAUUCUGUUACAACAACAACUGCAACAACAACAACAGUUAGUCAGUGAGGAGGGGGAGGGGCCGUCCUCUGAUGCUGAGGAUGAGGUAUUGUUCAGGGAGGCCAUGUCGGAGGUGCCGGUGGUGGGGUCGCCAGUUCCGGAGUACGAGGUGGAGGAGGAAAAGGAAGAGGAGGACGAGGAGGAGGCACGGAUAAGGAAGAAGAAAAGAUUAUUACCUGUAGCCCUCCCUCCAGCUGAUAAGGGGAUAUUAAGGAGCCCUUCCUACAGGUUCGUUCGAUGCAAGGAGUUGGCACAGGAGGCGUCCGAGGCUGUGUAGAGCGGCCGUCUGAACCUGGUGCCACAGCUUACUAUGUUCAACAGAUGCCUGAAGGAAGUGUGUGUAAGGGAGGAUAAAGAGAUCAUGCUGGCCUAUGCAGACGAUGUCGCUGUCGUGACAGGAAGCCAACAAGAUCUUCAAGAGGCCAUGACAAGAUGGAAUGAUGUUUUAAAUAGGGAAGGAAUGAGAAUGAACAAACAAAAAACUUAUUUACUAGUGGACAAGCAACAAGUGAUGGUGUGGCUCUGAGCCACUGUAGUAGGGAUGUUAUGGUUUAAGUGUAGGAAGUUGCAAAUGCUCACCUAACAAUUGCACCUUAGUAGAAAAACACAAACAGGAAGUUUAUGCAAGUUUUUAUCCUUAUAUAAAAUGUUGUAUUGCAUCAAACCUCCAUACAUUACUGUCUCUAUCCAGUAUGAGACCGGUGUUCAGGAAGCACAAGCAUGUGCUGAAUAACAAGAAGCCGGCAUUGGUGAAGGUGACAACAUUUCAUCUAUUUAUACAUACUUUUUAUUAUUAAAGCUUAUCUUAUAAUUAUUUCUGAAGAGAUUGACUAAUUUUUGUAGUAUUUAUGACUUAGAACUAUGAUAAAGCUAUGAAUUGAUAUAAUUCCUGAUUUGUUUUAUCUUUUCAUUAUCCUUCCUUUGUUAAUUGAGCAUUUUAUAUUACUUAGCUUAAAAAUGCAAGAACGGUUCAGAAGUAUCCAACCUUGGGCUAAGGGCCAAAAUUAUGGUAUCAUUCAAAAUGUCCUUCAAAGAAAGCCCUCUGUAAUCCAACACACUUAGCCCAUUAAUCCUUCCAUUUCUCAUCAAUUUGUUCAACAUUCAUAUUUUUCCCUUAUAGGGUUGAACAAUUUUCAUGGGUUCAGAGCAAAAGGCUUCCUCAUUCCUCCCCAAGGUAUUCUCGGAUGGUAAGCAGGUUUGACUCUGGAGCAAACCUGACCAAGGGCUACUGCCCAAGGCUACAGAGGUUCCUCUCCCUGAGGCUGAAUGCACCAUGUGAGAUGGUUCUGUUAUGUGGAUGAAUGUCAUGGUGGAUAGCAGUGCCACCACAUUCCUACAAUCAUCCAUCACUCCACUGCUCAAACGCUUCUGCAACCAAUGAUAGGUAUGCUGCCACAUUCUGCAUGGUCUCCUUGGCUCUCAGAUAAGGAUACUGUCAACAGGUUUGGGAUUGCCAAAAAAUCAUAAGGAGCUAUGUCUGAAAAGUCCAGAGAGAGAGAGAGAGAGAAAGAAUGAGCAAGAGAAAGAGUAGGAUGAAGCAAAGGAAGAGUCAAGAGGGAGGAAGAGAGAGUAGGACAAGAAAAAACAGAACAAAUAAAUCCCCUACACGUCUUGUCUCCAUUCACACAAGCCAUGAAAAGCUUGUCCAUCCCUGAGUGCUCAGAAGCAGUGUUCCACUGAUGAUGUGGAAACUUGAGACACCCAAUCAUUUAAUGGGCUUUAGUAGGUUUUGUCACCAGUCUUCUGUGUGUCACUGACUACAUUUUGAAAUUUUUAUCUGUUCUAUUUAAUUUUGUGUGUAUGUACACAAUGUUUAUGGUCAAUAAACUAUUUAUAAAACUAUUUAUCUGUGUGAGUAAGAUAAAAGCAGUUAUUGUUAUUAUUAUUAUUAUUAUUAUUAUUAUUAUUAUUAUUAUUAUUAUUAUUAUUAUUAUUAUUACACAUUUUCCUCCUUGUAUUUAAAUAUUAUUAUUAUUAUUAUUAUUAUUAUUAUUAUUAUCAUGAAUUGUUCUUGUUUAUAAAUAAAAUACUGUAACUGA
Scylla paramamosain (green mud crab) is the source of this 3427-nucleotide long non-coding RNA. RefSeq lists it as uncharacterized. Lineage: Eukaryota; Metazoa; Arthropoda; Malacostraca; Decapoda; Portunidae. The transcript is spliced from 7 exons. The record is from RefSeq and is a predicted model, not a curated record.